GACGAACGCUGGCGGCGUGCUUAACGCAUGCAAGUCGAACGGAAAGGCCCUGCUUUUGUGGGGUGCUCGAGUGGCGAACGGGUGAGUAACACGUGAGUAACCUGCCCUUGACUUUGGGAUAACUUCAGGAAACUGGGGCUAAUACCGGAUAGGAGCUCCUGCUGCAUGGUGGGGGUUGGAAAGUUUCGGCGGUUGGGGAUGGACUCGCGGCUUAUCAGCUUGUUGGUGGGGUAGUGGCUUACCAAGGCUUUGACGGGUAGCCGACCUGAGAGGGUGACCGGCAACAAUGGGACUGAGAGACGGCACAGAAGACAACGGGAGGCGGCAGGGGGGAAGAUUGCAGAAUGGGGGGAAGCCUGAUGCAGAAACGCCGGGAGCGGGAUGACGGCCUUCGGGUUGAAAACAGAUUUGGCCGGUGACGAAGCGUGAGUGACGGUAAUGGGUAAAGAAGCACCGGCUAACUACGUG
This 468-nucleotide ribosomal RNA is filed under the name uncultured bacterium. RNAcentral describes it as "partial 16S ribosomal RNA". It matches the Rfam family "Bacterial small subunit ribosomal RNA", at positions 28 to 507 of the family's 1533-position model. The record is from RNAcentral.